CCUACGGGAGGCUGCAGUGAGGAAUAUUGGUCAAUGGACGAGAGUCUGAACCAGCCACGUAGCGUGAAGGAUGACUGCCCUAUGGGUUGUAAACUUCUUUUAUAUGGGAAUAAAAUGUUCCACGUGUGGGAUUUUGUAUGUACCAUAUGAAUAAGGAUCGGCUACCUCCGUGCCAGCAGCCGCGGUAAUACGGAGGAUCCGAGCGUUAUCCGGAUUUAUUGGGUUUAAAGGGAGCGUAGGUGGAUUGUUAAGUCAGUUGUGAAAGUUUGCGGCUCAACCGUAAAAUUGCAGUUGAAACUGGCGGUGUUGAGUACAGGAGAGGUGGGCGGAAUUCGUGGUGUAGCGGUGAAAUGCUUAGAUAUCACGAAGAACUCCGAUUGCGAAGGCAGUUCACUGGACUGCAACUGACACUGAGGCUCGAAAGUGUGGGUAUCAAACAGGAUUAGAUACCCCGGUAGUC
This 460-nucleotide ribosomal RNA is filed under the name uncultured bacterium. RNAcentral's name for it is "partial 16S ribosomal RNA". It matches the Rfam family "Bacterial small subunit ribosomal RNA", at positions 338 to 795 of the family's 1533-position model. The record is from RNAcentral.